This 72-nucleotide transfer RNA is filed under the name Anguilla anguilla (European eel). RNAcentral's name for it is "tRNA-OTHER". Lineage: Eukaryota; Metazoa; Chordata; Actinopteri; Anguilliformes; Anguillidae. The record is from RNAcentral.
GCAUUGGUGGCCCAGUGGUAGAGCCCCCGUCUACCACGCCCGGCGGCCCCGGUUCAUAUCCCAGCCACUGUG